GUCUAUGGCCAUGCCACCCUGAACAAGCCGGAUCCCGCCUGAUCUCGGAAGCUAAGAAGAGUCAGACCUGGUUAGUACUCAGAUGGGAGACUACCUAGGAAGGUCAGAUGCUGUAGGCA
Molecule: non-coding RNA, 119 nt
Organism: Pteropus alecto (black flying fox)
Lineage: Eukaryota; Metazoa; Chordata; Mammalia; Chiroptera; Pteropodidae
Source: Rfam